CAGCGAGCGGCUCUCGGCCCGGCUGCCUUCAGCGCUGCUCCCGCGUGCGAGGUGCUGCCAUGGGCAGGCCGUGCCGCUGGCUCCCCGGGCAGCCCCGGCCCUGCAGGAAGCACCUCGCAUCCAAGAGAAGAAAGCCUUACAUGGCACAAUUUGGAUGAUGUCUGCCUAUUACCAGAAAAAGAUAAUGAUGUGAGAGCCAAAUGAAAGGACAACACAUAAUACCAUAUACAAGGAAAAUCAGAGGAGAUCUUGAGUGAGCAAAGAAGAUGUACAUGAUGGAAUUAUUUACCAGAAAUGGAAAAAGAGAAAUUAUUUUGGAACUACAAGCUGCAGACAUGGCAAAAUGAUGAUGGAAGUUAUACCAAAGCUUGCUAUUCCCAGAGGAAGACCAGGUCCAUCUACACCACC
Molecule: long non-coding RNA, 408 nt
Organism: Pyrgilauda ruficollis (rufous-necked snowfinch)
Lineage: Eukaryota; Metazoa; Chordata; Aves; Passeriformes; Passeridae
Exons: 4
Source: RefSeq, a predicted model, not a curated record